ACGAACGCUGGCGGCGUGCUUAACACAUGCAAGUCGAACGAGAGGACAAGAGAAGCUUGCUUCUUUGGAAUCGAGUGGCAAACGGGUGAGUAACACGUAAACAACCUGCCUUCAGGAUGGGGACAACAGACGGAAACGACUGCUAAUACCGAAUACGCUUGGGAGACCGCAUGAUCUUCCAAGGAAAGGGUGGCCUCUACUUGUAAGCUAUCGCCUGAAGAGGGGGUUUGCGUCUGAUUAGGCAGUUGGUGAGGUAACGGCCCACCAAACCUACGAUCAGUAGCCGGUCUGAGAGGAUGAACGGCCACACUGGAACUGAGACACGGUCCAGACUCCUACGGGAGGCAGCAGUGGGGAAUCUUCCGCAAUGGGCGAAAGCCUGACGGAGCAACGCCGCGUGAGUGAUGACGGCCUUCGGGUUGUAAAGCUCUGUGAUCGGGGACGAACGGUCCGUAAGCCAAUACCUUAUGGAAGUGACGGUACCCGAAUAGCAAGCCACGGCUAACUACGUG
This 512-nucleotide ribosomal RNA is filed under the name uncultured bacterium. RNAcentral describes it as "bacterial SSU rRNA". It matches the Rfam family "Bacterial small subunit ribosomal RNA", at positions 29 to 507 of the family's 1533-position model. The record is from RNAcentral.